Molecule: ribosomal RNA, 497 nt
Filed under: uncultured bacterium
Lineage: Bacteria
Description: partial 16S ribosomal RNA
Rfam family: Bacterial small subunit ribosomal RNA
Source: RNAcentral
GAUGAACGCUGGCGGCGUGCCUAAUACAUGCAAGUCGAGCGAACAGACGAGGAGCUUGCUCCUCUGACGUUAGCGGCGGACGGGUGAGUAACACGUGGAUAACCUACCUAUAAGACUGGGAUAACUUCGGGAAACCGGAGCUAAUACCGGAUAAUAUAUUGAACCGCAUGGUUCAAUAGUGAAAGACGGUUUUGCUGUCACUUAUAGAUGGAUCCGCGCCGCAUUAGCUAGUUGGUAAGGUAACGGCUUACCAAGGCAACGAUGCGUAGCCGACCUGAGAGGGUGAUCGGCCACACUGGAACUGAGACACGGUCCAGACUCCUACGGGAGGCAGCAGUAGGGAAUCUUCCGCAAUGGGCGAAAGCCUGACAGAGCAACGCCGCGUGAAUGAUGAAGGUCUUCGGAUCGUAAAACUCUGUUAUUAGGGAAGAACAAAUGUGUAAGUAACUAUGCACGUCUUGACGGUACCUAAUCAGAAAGCCACGGCUAACUACGUG